GGAGGGGCGGAAGGUUGCAUGCCGAGGUCCGGGUGGCUCGUUAAACAAUCCGGGACGCAUUAAGCGCCGACAAUUACGAUUACGCUUUAGCAGCUUAAUAACCUGCUAACGUUCUACCUACCAUCUCCCACGUGGGAGGAUAGAACGUCAUUCAGUGGGAUAGUUUCAGGGAGAGUCCGUGGCCCUGCGGCGAAAUCAAGCGGAAUCGCGACUCAAGAAUCCCGCCCUGUGGAGUCUUGAAGGGCUAAACCCAAAAACAGGUACAAGCAUGUAGACGCCUUUUGUGUACGAUUCUCGGACGCGGGUUCGAUUCCCGCCACCUCCACCA
Molecule: transfer-messenger RNA, 328 nt
Filed under: Geomonas subterranea
Lineage: Bacteria; Pseudomonadati; Thermodesulfobacteriota; Desulfuromonadia; Geobacterales; Geobacteraceae
Description: Geomonas sp. RG2 transfer-messenger RNA
Rfam family: transfer-messenger RNA
About the family: Bacterial tmRNA, also known as 10Sa RNA or SsrA, is named for its dual tRNA and mRNA-like properties. Its role is to liberate the mRNA from a stalled ribosome. To accomplish this part of the tmRNA is used as a reading frame that ends in a translation stop signal.
Source: RNAcentral